This 253-nucleotide ribosomal RNA is filed under the name uncultured bacterium. Its description in RNAcentral is "partial 16S ribosomal RNA". It matches the Rfam family "Bacterial small subunit ribosomal RNA", at positions 524 to 776 of the family's 1533-position model. The record is from RNAcentral.
UACGGGGGGGGCAAGCGUUGUUCGGAAUUACUGGGCGUAAAGCGCACGUAGGCGGCUAUUCAAGUCGGGGGUGAAAGCCCGGGGCUCAACCCCGGAACUGCCCUCGAAACUAGGUAGCUAGAAUCUUGGAGAGGCGAGUGGAAUUCCGAGUGUAGAGGUGAAAUUCGUAGAUAUUCGGAAGAACACCAGUGGCGAAGGCGACUCGCUGGACAAGUAUUGACGCUGAGGUGCGAAAGCUAGGGGAGCAAACGGG